RNAcentral lists this unclassified non-coding RNA (25 nucleotides) under Mus musculus (house mouse). RNAcentral describes it as "oocyte_clustered_small_RNA1491". Lineage: Eukaryota; Metazoa; Chordata; Mammalia; Rodentia; Muridae. The record is from RNAcentral.
GUUGGGAGAUGGUUAACUGUGGGCA